CCUACGGGUGGCAGCAGUGAGGAAUAUUGGUCAAUGGUCGGGAGACUGAACCAGCCAAGCCGCGUGAGGGAGGAAGGUACAGAGUAUCGUAAACCUCUUUUGUCAGGGAACAAAGACUGGGACGCGUCCCCGGAUGAGUGUACCUGAAGAAAAAGCAUCGGCUAACUCCGUGCCAGCAGCCGCGGUAAUACGGAGUAUGCGAGCGUUAUCCGGAUUUAUUGGGUUUAAAGGGUGCGCAGUCGGUCUGUUAAGUCAGCGGUAACACCCCGGGGUUCAACCCCGGCCCGCCGUUGAAACUGGGAGUCUCGAGUUGGAGAGAAGUAUGCGGAAUGCGCGGUGUAGCGGUGAGAUGCAUAGAUAUCGCGCAGAACUCCGAUUGCGAAGGCAGCAUGCCGGCUCCACACUGACGCUGAGGCACGAAAGCGUGGGUAUCGAACAGGAUUAGAUACCCGUGUAGUC
RNAcentral lists this ribosomal RNA (459 nucleotides) under uncultured bacterium. RNAcentral describes it as "partial 16S ribosomal RNA". It matches the Rfam family "Bacterial small subunit ribosomal RNA", at positions 338 to 795 of the family's 1533-position model. The record is from RNAcentral.